UCGCCUCCUACCUGCUCGAGCGCGGCAUCGCCUCCUCACCGCGCCCCGGCCGGUUCAGACACGGCCCCGUCGCGCUGUUCCGCUCCGCCGGCGCUCGUCACCACCACCAUGGCUCUCGCCACGCCCGCCGGCUCGGCGGACCCGCUCACCGCGGAUUGGAGCUGGAGCUGGACGCGGAUCCACCCCGCAGCAUCCGCGCCUCCGCCGCCGUGGCUCGCCUCCACAGCAGCGGCCCCGUCAGGCCGACCUUGCCUCGCCUCUGUUGUUUGCCGCUGUGGCCUCGUCUCGCCGCCUCGCCCCGCUGGGUGGAUAUCGCCUCCAAAACGGCUGCGGGCCAGAUGUCUUGCCUA
This 350-nucleotide long non-coding RNA is filed under the name Hordeum vulgare. Its description in RNAcentral is "long non-coding RNA (HVUL_LNC002745)". The record is from RNAcentral. Lineage: Eukaryota; Viridiplantae; Streptophyta; Magnoliopsida; Poales; Poaceae.